GAUGAACGCUGGCGGCGUGCCUAACACAUGCAAGUCGAGCGUGAUUUAUGAGGACGAAACUUCGGUCUAGGAAUCAUAAUGAAAGCGGCGGACGGGUGAGUAACGCGUAGGCAACCUGCCCUUGACACAGGGAUAGCCUCGGGAAACCGGGAUUAAAACCUGAUGACGCCAAACAGUCACAUGGCUGUUUGGCCAAAGAUUUAUCGGUCAAGGAUGGGCCUGCGUCUGAUUAGUUAGUUGGUGGGGUAACGGCCUACCAAGACGACGAUCAGUAGCCGACCUGAGAGGGUGAUCGGCCACAUUGGAACUGAGACACGGUCCAAACUCCUACGGGAGGCAGCAGUGGGGAAUAUUGCACAAUGGGCGAAAGCCUGAUGCAGCAACGCCGCGUGAGCGAUGAAGGCCUUUGGGUCGUAAAGCUCUGUCCUUGGGGAAGAAACAAAUGACGGUACCCAAGGAGGAAGCCCCGGCUAACUACGUGCCAGCCGCCGCGGUAA
RNAcentral lists this ribosomal RNA (497 nucleotides) under uncultured bacterium. RNAcentral's name for it is "partial 16S ribosomal RNA". It matches the Rfam family "Bacterial small subunit ribosomal RNA", at positions 28 to 523 of the family's 1533-position model. The record is from RNAcentral.